Molecule: ribosomal RNA, 300 nt
Filed under: uncultured Hydrogenobacter sp.
Lineage: Bacteria; Pseudomonadati; Aquificota; Aquificia; Aquificales; Aquificaceae
Description: bacterial SSU rRNA
Rfam family: Bacterial small subunit ribosomal RNA
Source: RNAcentral
GCGUCGUCAGGACCGUAGGCUGGGGUGAUACGCAGGUGGAAGGCGGUGUCCUUAAUUAUUGUGCGGAAAGCGGGCGUAGGUGGUCUGGCGCGUCGGCUGGGGAAACCCGGGGCUUAGCCCCGGGCUUGCAGUGGAUACGGGCAGACUAGAGGCAGGUAGGGGAGAAUGGAAUUCCCGGUGUAGCGGUGAAAUGCGCAGAUAUCGGGAGGAACACCGGUGGCGAAGGCGGUUCUCUGGGCCUGACCUGACGCUGAGGAGCGAAAGCGUGGGGAGCGAACAGGAUUAGAUACCCUAGUAGUC